CAAUAGCGUAUAUUAAAGUUGUUGCAGUUAAAAAGCUCGUAGUUGGAUUUCUGGUCGGAAGCUCCUGUCCUCUGAUGAGCGUACAAGUGCGUCCUACCAUCCUUCUGUUAACCUUUAAGGCUUUCGCGGCUUUCUAGGGGCUCAGAUAUUUUACCUUGAGAAAAUUAGAGUGUUUCAGGCAGGCUAGCGCCGGAAUACAUUAGCAUGGAAUAAUGGGAUAGGACUUUUGCCUCUUCUGUUGGUCAUGAGGCUCGAGUAAUGAUUAAUAGGGAUAGUUGGGGGCAUUAGUACUUAACUGUCAGAGGUGAAAUUCUCGGAUUUGUUAAAGACUAACUUAUGCGAAAGCAUUUGCCAAGGAUGUUUUCAUUAG
This 370-nucleotide ribosomal RNA is filed under the name uncultured eukaryote. RNAcentral's name for it is "partial 18S ribosomal RNA". It matches the Rfam family "Eukaryotic small subunit ribosomal RNA", at positions 592 to 976 of the family's 1831-position model. The record is from RNAcentral.